Molecule: ribosomal RNA, 497 nt
Filed under: uncultured bacterium
Lineage: Bacteria
Description: partial 16S ribosomal RNA
Rfam family: Bacterial small subunit ribosomal RNA
Source: RNAcentral
GAUGAACGCUGGCGGCGUGCCUAAUACAUGCAAGUCGAGCGAACGGACGAGAAGCUUGCUUCUCUGAUGUUAGCGGCGGACGGGUGAGUAACACGUGGAUAACCUACCUAUAAGACUGGGAUAACUUAGGGAAACCGUAGCUAAUACCGGAUCAUAUUUUGAACCGCAUGGUUCAAAAGUGAAAGACGGUCUUGCUGUCACUUAUAGAUGGAUCCGCGCUGCAUUAGCUAGUUGGUAAGGUAACGGCUUCCCAAGGCAGCGAUGCAUAGCCGACCUGAGAGGGUGAUCGGCCACACUGGAACUGAGACACGGUCCAGACUCCUACGGGAGGCAGCAGUAGGGAAUCUUCCGCAAUGGGCGAAAGCCUGACGGAGCAACGCCGCGUGAGUGAUGAAGGUCUUCGGAUCGUAAAACUCUGUUAUUAGGGAAGAACAUAUGUGUAAGUAACUGUGCACAUCUUGACGGUACCUAAUCAGAAAGCCACGGCUAACUACGUG